CACAUCAGUGUCUCUUUGUUUAAUUUCAGGGUCACUGGAUGUAUCCCUCAGGACUUCAGCCGGUGGGGGGUUCAUGCCAGUGCCCAAAGUGAUGCCACUUUGGGCACUGCGAUCUCUGUCUCAGAUUGGAGGCAGCAUUUAACAGUCCUGCCCUUAUAUUCUAUGGAUGUUCUUCUUUUUAACUUGUGGGCAAAGCCUUCAUCAUACUGUGGAGUUGUAACAUUCCAUGUCUACCCAUUUUCCUUGGUAUAUAGAGCCUGUGAACAUUGCUGCACAAAUAGUCAAUAGACUCGACCUUCCAUCCUUCCGAGGUGCCUUUACACAAUAGAGCCACAGUCAGGAGUCAAGUAUCAGUCUUUGAUCUACAAUUUGUGAAGAAAUGCAUCAUCCUAAGAAGAAUUAAGUAGCUUGAAUUUCUAUAAGAAAGAAAAUCUUUCUCCUUCUUAAAUUAAAUAACAAAGACUUUCCAUGCCCAAUACUAGUCUGGAUAUGAAAGAGGCUAUAUAAGCAUCAUUCUGUCCUAUUCCUUUUAGUGUGAACAGAAUAAUGAAUUAUUUCCCAUUUUACUUGCUUUGUUUCUUGGAAACCAGGCAAAUUAUUCUUCUGUAAUAAUUUUUGCUUUAAAAGGGUAGUUAUUCCACUGCUAAAAUGAGAAUCAUUCAACUUUAUUAUAGAUAAAACAGGUGGAUAUAUAGAAGAUGUGUGUUUUCUGAAAAAUAUAAUUUCAAAGUUAAAACUUUGAACUGUGAGCAGAUCCUAAUUAGAUAAGAGCCAGAAUUUAUAUAGCUUGUUUUACUUCUCACAGAUUAAAAAAUAUGAGCUAGACCCAAAGUUUUUACAGAAUCAGAAUAAUUAGAUGGAGAAAAUGAAACAAAACGUUAAUUUUCCUGAAAUUUUUCCAGUUUCCUAAAAAUAAAUUUUAAAAUCUCAGAAUUUUUUUUAAAAAAUCUCAAUAUCAUUGUGUAAUGUAGACCAUAUAAAUUUCCUCAUAUUACUGCUUUUCAAAUACUGAAUUUUGUCCUGGUUUCAGGAAGUCAUGAUAUUGGUAUCCUAGUUAGCUGGAUAACAUCCAAAUCAUACUAGUUAUGGGAGUUUCCUAUGAUGUUGUAUGGAAGCAAAAGUUGGACUUUGAAGUAGUGCCAAUAGCACAGGAAGAGUAUUGAGGUUUUUGAACUGGAGAACACUCAUUACCAUUUAAUUAAGAUUUGUUUCUAAAAGCCUUGAUACUCUCAAGAUUAUUACUAAACUUCUAUGACAUUCAUGAGAAGGACAUUCAUAAGAAAAUAUGGAAGCAAGAAAAGUGUGCAAAUAAAUACUAUGGUGAGAUGUAAUUCUCUUAUGAGUACUAGCAAUUAGGGUUUCCAAUGCUAGAAGAAAUACACACAUUCACAACACACCCUAGUUUCUCACAAAUUUUAGAUUAUAACAUCUAGAACGCCACCAAAAGAAGAAGAAUUGAACAAUGGUUAUUAAGAUCUGGAC
Molecule: non-coding RNA, 1482 nt
Organism: Pseudonaja textilis
Lineage: Eukaryota; Metazoa; Chordata; Lepidosauria; Squamata; Elapidae
Source: RefSeq, a predicted model, not a curated record